AACGAACGCUGGCGGCAUGCCUAACACAUGCAAGUCGAACGAGACCUUCGGGUCUAGUGGCGCACGUGUGCGUAACGCGUGGGAACCUGCCCUUAGGUUCGGAAUAACUCCCCGAAAGGGGUGCUAAUACCGGAUAAUGUCUUCGGACCAAAGAUUUAUCGCCUUUGGAUGGGCCCGCGUUGGAUUAGCUAGUUGGUAGGGUAAAAGCCUACCAAGGCGACGAUCCAUAGCUGGUCUGAGAGGAUGAUCAGCCACACUGGGACUGAGACACGGCCCAGAAUCCUACGGGAGGCAGCAGAGGGGAAUAUUGGACAAGGGGCGAAAGCCUGAUCCAGCAAUGCCGCGUAAGUGAUGAAGGCCUUAGGGUUGUAAAGCUCUUUUACCCGGGAUGAUAAUGACAGUACCGGGAGAAUAAGCUCCGGCUAACUCCGUG
This 433-nucleotide ribosomal RNA is filed under the name uncultured bacterium. Its description in RNAcentral is "partial 16S ribosomal RNA". It matches the Rfam family "Bacterial small subunit ribosomal RNA", at positions 29 to 507 of the family's 1533-position model. The record is from RNAcentral.